GCGAGUGAAGCGGCAAUAGCUCAAAUUUGAAAGCUGGCCUUCUGGUCCGCAUUGUAAUUUGUAGAGGAUGCUUUUAGGCAGCCGCCGGUCUAAGUUCCUUGGAACAGGACGUCAUAGAGGGUGAGAAUCCCGUAUGUGACCGGCUCUGGCACCUUCUGUAAAGCUCCUUCGACGAGUCGAGUUGUUUGGGAAUGCAGCUCUAAAUGGGAGGUAAAUUUCUUCUAAAGCUAAAUACUGGCGAGAGACCGAUAGCGCACAAGUAGAGUGAUCGAAAGAUGAAAAGCACUUUGGAAAGAGAGUUAAAAAGCACGUGAAAUUGUUGAAAGGGAAGCGCUUGCAAUCAGACUUGGCUUCGGUUGUUCAACAGGUCUUCUGACCUGCCUAUUCAAUCGUUGCCAGGCCAGCAUCAGUUUCGGCGGCCGGAUAAAGGCCCUGGGAAUGUGGCUGUUCCUUCGGGGACAGUGUUAUAGCCCAGGGUGUAAUACGGCCAGCUGGGACUGAGGUCCGCGCUUCGGCUAGGAUGCUGGCGUAAUGGUUGUAAGCGGCCCGUCUU
Molecule: ribosomal RNA, 553 nt
Filed under: Coniozyma leucospermi
Lineage: Eukaryota; Fungi; Ascomycota; Dothideomycetes; Dothideales; Dothideaceae
Description: eukaryotic LSU rRNA
Rfam family: Eukaryotic large subunit ribosomal RNA
Source: RNAcentral